Molecule: ribosomal RNA, 258 nt
Filed under: uncultured bacterium
Lineage: Bacteria
Description: partial 16S ribosomal RNA
Rfam family: Bacterial small subunit ribosomal RNA
Source: RNAcentral
GUCCACGCCGUAACGAUGAGUACUAGGUGUCGCGGGUAUUGACCCUGCGGUGCCGCAGCUAACGCAUUAAGUACUCCGCCUGGGAAGUACGGCCGCAAGGCUAAACUCAAAGGAAUUGACGGGCCCGCACAAGCGGUGGAGCAUGUGGUUUAAUUCGACGCAACGCGCAGAACCUUACCUGGGCUUGACAUCUGCGGAACCUCUAUGAAAGUAGGGGUGCCUUCGGGAGCCGCAAGACAGGUGCUGCAUGGCUGUCGU